This 253-nucleotide ribosomal RNA is filed under the name uncultured Prevotella sp. RNAcentral's name for it is "partial 16S ribosomal RNA". It matches the Rfam family "Bacterial small subunit ribosomal RNA", at positions 524 to 776 of the family's 1533-position model. The record is from RNAcentral. Lineage: Bacteria; Pseudomonadati; Bacteroidota; Bacteroidia; Bacteroidales; Prevotellaceae.
UACGGAGGAUGCGAGCGUUAUCCGGAUUUAUUGGGUUUAAAGGGUGCGUAGGUUGUUUUUUAAGUCAGCGGUGAAAUUUUGUGGCUCAACCAUGAGAGUGCGGCGCGAACUGGAGACCUUGAGUGCGCGGAAGGCAGGCGGAAUUCGUGGUGUAGCGGUGAAAUGCUUAGAUAUCACGAAGAACCCCGAUUGCGAAGGCAGCCUGCCGCAGCGUUACUGACGCUGAAGCUCGAAAGCGCGGGUAUCGAACAGG